GCGGGCGGUGGCUCUGCCGGGGGACGGGUGCCGGCACUUCCCGGCACUCCGCGGUGUUUCCCAGCGCUUUCCGCUCCUCUCGGCGCUCGGGAGUGGGGAUGGCGGAGCGGCGACCCUGCCCGCUGCCCGCCUCGCUUCAGUGUCCGCCGAUCGUGCAGGAGGUGAGGUUUUAUCAUGAAGCACAAACUGGCUAUGAUGCAGAAACAGAACCUCAAGCAAAUGGUUGCCUGUGUAGAGGGAGGAACAAGAGGCAGGAACAAUGAAGUUUCUUGUUGGACAUUAACAAAGGCAUUGAGGGAUUGGGAGAAGAAGAGACAAGCUAAGAGCAAAUUAAGAGAUGUCAACAGAAGGAUUGCUGAGAAGGGAGCAUCAGUUGAGCUAAGGCAGUCAUAGCUGUUAACAUUUAAAAAGCCCUUUCAAGGACUAACAAAAUAAAGGAUAGAAAGAAUGUGCCUGCUAAUCACAAGGAGAUGGAAGCAUAGGAAGUUACAUUUGGAAUAAUUUCCUCAAUUUCUGCACCCCUUGAAGAGGCAAAAUGAAUCCAAAAGAUAAAAAUUCAGUGAGAUGAAAGUGCAGCCUCAGAGGAAGGACAGCACUGAAACCAACAAAUAAUUCCAUACGAAAUGGUAGGAGUAAGGACUGUGAGGAAGCAUGCUGGAUUGAACAGCCCUGUGGCACACAGCAUGGGAUAAUUGCCAAACAUUGCCUCCAUCAUCUGCUCUGACGACAGCAGUUCCAGGAUGCCCUAAAGCCUCAGGGAUGCCAUCCUAUUCUUCACCAUUCUUCCUGCUUGCUCAAGGACUUAGAAAGUACAGCAGAGCAAUGCUGCUAACAACAAGAACAAAUCAAUACACAUCCAAAUUGGAUUAACCAAACUUUGCUUUUAUUAUCUCAGCCAGAGCAGGCAAGUAAACAAAACUUUAAAAAUUAAGUUCCUUACUUUCCUUCUCCUCAAUAACUGUACAUAGGACCAGAGGACAUCACACAUUAAACUUUUAUUUCUGAAAAAAAUUUAUUUCUAGAAAUGUCAUCCAAUAAUUCUCCAAAUCUGAAAAUGGCUUGAUUAUAUGUGAAUUACUUUUUCCUGCUUUUCUCUUCUUUGAAUUCCUCUGAUUUGCAGAUUUUCCCCUUGAAGUAUCCUUUACACUUUUUCCGUAAUGCUCUCCACUGCUGUCCGGCAGAAUGUGUUUGUGUUAACCUUUAACAUAACUUGACUACACUACUUUGAUUUUGGACAUCUAUUUUUGUAUUUGCAAAUAAUUUGUACUAAUUUCCUGAAUUAUCAGCAGAAGACAGGAAGUGGGAGCACAGAAGUAUCUGUAAAUACUGAUUUAUCCUAGUUACAUACAAAGACCUACUUCCUAGUCAGUGUAUAUCUGGGAACAGUCCAUGUGUCACCUUGUCUGUUAGAAUUCUUUGUUCUGGGUCUUUUUGGCAAGUAUAUGGCCAAUAUAAAUUUUUCUAAAUUUUUUAGGUGUUUUCCCCAAAAUCAGUGACAGAUUUUAUCUUCCUUCCAACUAGUACAGUCAGUGGGAAAGGUAAGGCUACUAACUAGUAUCUGUUCAUUUAUGUACUUCCAAAUACCCUAUUCUCUUUUAAGAAUUAACACGCCAAUCCUAAUGUAGCUUCCCUGCAGCUUUUGUCUGAAAUUUCCAAAUAAAUUUUUUACAGAGACUUCUUUUCUUGCUGCUGUUACUGUAGUCAGCAUAUUAGACUUUGUCUGUUUUGUUUACAGUCUGAGUGCAAUAUUAGAAAUCUUUUUGUUCUGGACUUCAUAUCUCCUAAGUAUUUUUCUUCUUUCUUUUAAAUUCAGUUAUCCAGCACUUCAUCAUGUGUAUAUAGCUGCCCUUACAAAUGCUAGCCAGAUAAAUCUGUUUGUUCUAAAAAUUUACAUAUCCUCAAGUAAGAAACUUCAUAUUUUGAGGGUGUGGGAUGGCAGAAUUUAGAUAUUUGCACAGAGGAAAAAUGUGCUGUUUUCCAUACUAUUAAUUUUCCAAAUGCUAGCUCCUACUCUUGUUGGUUUCAGUCUUUUUCAAUCCUUCUCAAACAGCAUCUGCCUUAUCUUCUCAUCUACACAAUGAAGGCUUAGAGAAGAGAAAUUUGCUCACAAGUGUGAUCUGUGUAGCUCAGGAAGGGUUUUUUCAUGGCCUGUUAUACCAUACAGAAACUCUGCUAGAUAUCUUUAAGACCAUGAAAGAUUUUUUUCUUUC
Non-coding RNA from Cyanistes caeruleus (blue tit), 2210 nucleotides. NCBI's taxonomy places the organism in Eukaryota, Metazoa, Chordata, Aves, Passeriformes, Paridae. The record is from RefSeq and is a predicted model, not a curated record.